RNAcentral lists this ribosomal RNA (785 nucleotides) under Natranaerovirga pectinivora. RNAcentral describes it as "bacterial SSU rRNA". It matches the Rfam family "Bacterial small subunit ribosomal RNA", at positions 56 to 841 of the family's 1533-position model. The record is from RNAcentral. Lineage: Bacteria; Bacillati; Bacillota; Clostridia; Lachnospirales; Natranaerovirgaceae.
UGCAAGUCGAGCGGACGAUACUAAUGAAUGCCUUCGGGAGGAUUUAGUAUGAGUUAGCGGCGGACGGGUGAGUAACGCGUGGGCAACCUGCCCUAUACAGGAGGAUAACAACGAGAAAUCGUUGCUAAUACUGCAUAAGACCCCAGUAAGGCAUCUUACUGAGGUAAAAACUCCGGUGGUAUAGGAUGGGCCCGCGUCUGAUUAGCUAGUUGGUAAGGUAAUGGCUUACCAAGGCGACGAUCAGUAGCCGACCUGAGAGGGUGAUCGGCCACAUUGGGACUGAGACACGGCCCAAACUCCUACGGGAGGCAGCAGUGGGGAAUAUUGCACAAUGGGGGAAACCCUGAUGCAGCAACGCCGCGUGAAGGAAGAAUGUCUUCGGAUUGUAAACUUCUAUCAGCAGGGAAGAUAAUGACGGUACCUGACUAAGAAGCCCCGGCUAACUACGUGCCAGCAGCCGCGGUAAUACGUAGGGGGCAAGCGUUAUCCGGAAUUACUGGGUGUAAAGGGUGCGUAGGCGGCUAUGCAAGUCAGAUGUGAAAGCCCAGGGCUCAACCCUGGGACUGCAUUUGAAACUGUGUAGCUAGAGUGCAGGAGAGGUAAGUGGAAUUCCUAGUGUAGCGGUGAAAUGCGUAGAUAUUAGGAGGAACACCAGUGGCGAAGGCGGCUUACUGGACUGUAACUGACGCUGAGGCACGAAAGCGUGGGGAGCGAACAGGAUUAGAUACCCUGGUAGUCCACGCCGUAGACGAUGAGUGCUAGGUGUCGGGGGUCGACAGACCUUC